RNAcentral lists this transfer RNA (71 nucleotides) under Agrilus planipennis (emerald ash borer). It matches the Rfam family "tRNA". From Rfam's summary of the family: Transfer RNA (tRNA) molecules are approximately 80 nucleotides in length. The record is from Rfam by way of RNAcentral. Lineage: Eukaryota; Metazoa; Arthropoda; Insecta; Coleoptera; Buprestidae.
CUCUUCGUGGCUUAAUGGUAGAGUACUGAUGCGUAAAACCAAGAGCUUGGGUUCGAUUCCCGGCGAGGGAG